UACAGAGGGGGCGAGCGUUGUUCGGAAUUACUGGGCGUAAAGGGCGCGUAGGCGGCCCGCUAAGUCGAACGUGAAAUCCCCAGGCUCAACCUGGGAACUGCGUCCGAUACUGGAUGGCUUGAAUCCGGGAGAGGGAUGCAGAAUUCCAGGUGUAGCGGUGAAAUGCGUAGAUAUCUGGAGGAAUACCGGUGGCGAAGGCGGCAUCCUGGACCGGCAUUGACGCUGAGGGGCGAAAGCCAGGGGAGCAAACGGG
RNAcentral lists this ribosomal RNA (253 nucleotides) under uncultured bacterium. RNAcentral's name for it is "partial 16S ribosomal RNA". It matches the Rfam family "Bacterial small subunit ribosomal RNA", at positions 524 to 776 of the family's 1533-position model. The record is from RNAcentral.